UACGUAGGGUGCAAGCGUUGUCCGGAAUUAUUGGGCGUAAAGAGCUCGUAGGCGGUUUGUUGCGUCGGCUGUGAAAUCCCGAGGCUCAACCUCGGGUCUGCAGUCGAUACGAGCAAACUAGAGUGUUGCAGGGGAGACUGGAAUUCCUGGUGUAGCGGUGAAAUGCGCAGAUAUCAGGAGGAACACCGGUGACGAAGGCGGGUCUCUGGGCAACAACUGACGCUGAGGAGCGAAAGCGUGGGGAGCGAACAGG
RNAcentral lists this ribosomal RNA (253 nucleotides) under uncultured bacterium. RNAcentral describes it as "partial 16S ribosomal RNA". It matches the Rfam family "Bacterial small subunit ribosomal RNA", at positions 524 to 776 of the family's 1533-position model. The record is from RNAcentral.